Cyprinus carpio carpio is the source of this 1143-nucleotide long non-coding RNA. The record is from Ensembl. Lineage: Eukaryota; Metazoa; Chordata; Actinopteri; Cypriniformes; Cyprinidae.
AUUCAAGAUGCGCCAGCACCAUCAAAUGUGAAGGAACUACGAGCUUUUUUAGGUUUGGUAAAUUAUUAUGGACGUUUUGUACCACAGCAGAGCACAGUGUUGGCACCACUGUAUAGACUGUUGAAAGAACAAACUGCUUGGUGCUGGGGGAAAAAGGAACAAGGUGCUUUUAGUAGAUGUAAAGAAUUGCUCACCAGUGACAAAGUGCUAGUAUACUAUGAUCCACAACUGCCUUUGACUUUAGCAUGUGAUGCUUCCGCUUAUGGAAUUGGUGCGGUGCUUCAGCACAUCAUGCCAAAUGGUGACGAGCAUCCCAUUGCAUAUGCUUCACGUACUUUGUCCCCUGCUGAAAAGAAAUAUUCACAGAUUGAGAAGGAAGCUUUGAGUGUGAUCUAUGGAGUUAAAAAAUUCCAUCAGUAUCUUUGGGGAAGAUCUUUUAAUUUGAUAACUGAUCAUAGACCAUUAGUGACUCUGUUUGGUGAACAUAAGCAUUUCCCAAUGAUGGCUGCCGCUCGCAUUCAGCGGUGGGCGAUAAUUUUGUCGGCAUAUGAUUAUCAUAUCAUGUAUCGCAAGGCAGAAGAUCAUGGAAAUGCAGAUGGCUUGUCACGAAUUCCAUUACCUGAAAUUACCGAUGUAGGAACAGAAGCCAUUUCAGCAAAUAUCAACACACUUUUGACAAACCAUCUUCAAGAAGCUCCUCUAAAUGCAGCACAGAUUGCCAGAAUGACAAGAACAGAUCAAGAACUUUCUAAAGUGUUUCGUUAUGUCAUGGAAGGUUGGCCAAUUGAAGUGUCAGAUGAUUUGAAAGUAUUCUACGCGAAAAGAGAUGAACUGUCAGUAGAACAGGGAUGUCUGCUAUGGGGCACACGAGUGAUUGUACCAUUCAAAUUUCGAAAAUCAGUGUUACAGGAAAUUCACUCAGGACACCCUGGCAUUGUUAAAAUGAAAGCUCUGACUCGUAAAUACGUGUGGUGGCCUAAAAUUGAUACGGAUAUAGAAAGAGUUUGCAAGGAGUGUCAAAUCUGUCAACAAGAACAAAGAGUGCCAAGUCACGUCCCUCUUCAUCCUUGGGAAUUCCCGGAUUACUUCUCAAGCUACUAUUACCAGAUUGAAGAGAUUGUUUUCUGCAUAUGGAUUACCUGA